GAAUAUUGGACAAUGGGCGAAAGCCUGAUCCAGCCAUGCCGCGUGAGUGACGAAGGCCUUCGGGUUGUAAAGCUCUUUUGGCGGGGACGAUAAUGACGGUACCCGCAGAAUAAGCCCCGGCUAACUUCGUGCCAGCCGCCGCGGUAAUACGAAGGGGGCUAGCGUUGUUCGGAAUCACUGGGCGUAAAGCGCACGUAGGCGGACUUUCAAGUCAGGGGUGAAAUCCCGGAGCUCAACUUCGGAAUUGCCUUUGAUACUGUUGGUCUCGAGUCCGGAAGAGGUGGGUGGAAUUCCUAGUGUAGAGGUGAAAUUCGUAGAUAUUAGGAAGAACACCGGUGGCGAAGGCGGCCCACUGGUCCGGUACUGACGCUGAGGUGCGAAAGCGUGGGGAGCAAACAGG
RNAcentral lists this ribosomal RNA (400 nucleotides) under uncultured bacterium. Its description in RNAcentral is "bacterial SSU rRNA". It matches the Rfam family "Bacterial small subunit ribosomal RNA", at positions 359 to 776 of the family's 1533-position model. The record is from RNAcentral.